GCGUUUAGCAAAGUUCCCAUGAGCAGCUGCUUUUGUAGAAAGCUUGGGAAACUGACUGAAACUGACUGAAACUUACUGAAACAUAAACAAACUCUGAUGGAGUUCAAUGAACAAAACCUGGGAAAGAAACUUCUUGUUGAGGUUGGACAUUUGGACUGGAGAAUGUAUGGACGACAAGGACAAUUUCCAGAAACCAGAAGAUGAAGAAGAGACAAAGACUGAGUUUAUGUGUUGGAAAGUCCUGACCGGAGGAAAAGGAUACAAAGACUGAAAACGUGGAUCAAUUAGCAUAAGAAGCAGCGCUGCAGCCACUCCCCAUCCAGGAGCUCGGGACAAAACAAGUUCUUGCCGUGUCCCCUCCCAGAACACACCAUCGCAACGGGAGAUACAGAAACAAAUUCUUUAUUCAUUUUCCAAUGCUCUGAAACCCAGCCUGAGCCCAGGCAGCACCUCUGCAGCUGCUGUGCUGGGCUGGGCUUUUCCCCCUCAGAAGAACUGGAUAAAGCUCUGCCUCCUCUGCUGGCAAAACUCAGGAAUGUGUCUCCAAUGGCAGCCCAGAGAAGGAGAAAGAAAAUUAUUUUAUUGGAGGCUACAGAGGCAUCUCCUACUCCAGGCAGCAGCAGCCUGUUUUAGAGGAAGAUGAGGGAUGGAAUUGGGGUGUAGCCACCUCAGUGCUGGAGCUGUGCCAAUGCAGCCUCGGGCUGAUCCCUCAGAACAGGAUUAUUCACCAGGGGUGAAACACAAAUUGCUAAGCCAAAGCAGGGUCCCACUUUUGGAGUGCAAACAGUGAUCAGGCAGGCGUGGAGGGUCUGGGGGAGAGGUCUCUCCCAGAUCAGCUGAUGGGGACAUCCACGUGAGGCCCACGGGUCCCUUAUGGGACUGUGACACGGGGCAGGUGUCCCAGGCAGGCCUGGGGAAUCACCUCAGGGACAUUUGGGGACAUGUCCCAGGCAGGCUUUGGGAAUCACCUCAGGGACAUUUGGGGACAUGUCCCAGGCAGGCUUUGGGAAUCACCUCAGGGACAUUUGGGGGGACAUGUCCCAGGCAGGCCUGGGGAAUCACCCCAGGGACAUUUGGGGACAUGUCCCAGGCAGGCCUGGGGAAUCACCUCAGGGACAUUUGGGGACAUGUCCCAGGCAGGCCUGGGGAAUCACCUCAGGGACAUUUGGGGACACAUCCCAGGCAGGUCUGGGGAAUCACCUCAGGGACAUUUGGGGACAUGUCCCAGGCAGGCCUGGGGAAUCACCUCAGGGACAUUUGGGGACCUGUCCCAGCACCAGGCUGGUGAGGUGGGGUUUUGGGGACAGGUCAUUCCUUAAAAGGCACGAUUCCAAUGACACCACUUUAUCCAGAGCAGGGUUUCUAAUGUAACACACAUUAUUUAUACUCCCAUGAUCCAGCAGACAGACCAAAAACACAGGGCUGCUCUAACCAGGGCAGAAGAAGGUUUUUCUCAUGUCACCAGUGACAAUUCCCCACUUACAGCAACAUAUACACACAGCACAGCCAGGCUGUUAAUGCUCCACACUAACAGAGGCAAGUUAAUAUGUAAACAUGUUUGUAUUUUAGAUAUUUGGUUUCUUUGUGUUUUAGUUCUGCUGAAAAACUGAAGCAAACCCAUGUUCUGCAGACUCCAUGUUGCCUUUUGCCUGUGCAGCCUCCCACUCUCAGGUUUGCUUUAGCUGAUGCAUUUUGCUGGUGAACACAACAGCAGAGGGGCAGCUGCUCAGGAAACAACUUUUAUACCUUUGGUUACAGCCUUCUGUGUAAGUUGGGCUUCACCAGCCCAGUUAGUAGGCAAAUGGGUGUUCCAAGCAUAAAAGUGCACCAAAAGGGUCAACCAGAAUGGCCACUAUCUAACCAGAACAUGAACUAACCUAAGUCAGUAAUCAGGGUAAUUAAUAAGGCAUUUGGGGAAAAAAAAAAAGAAA
This is a long non-coding RNA of Haemorhous mexicanus (house finch), 1931 nucleotides long. RefSeq lists it as uncharacterized. The transcript has 2 exons. Lineage: Eukaryota; Metazoa; Chordata; Aves; Passeriformes; Fringillidae. The record is from RefSeq and is a predicted model, not a curated record.